Molecule: ribosomal RNA, 499 nt
Filed under: uncultured bacterium
Lineage: Bacteria
Description: bacterial SSU rRNA
Rfam family: Bacterial small subunit ribosomal RNA
Source: RNAcentral
AAUGAACGUUGGCGGCGUGGAUUAGGCAUGCGAGUCGUACGAGAACCCGCAAGGGGGAAAGUGGCGAACGGGGUAGUAAUGCGUAGGUGACGUGCCCUAUGGUCGGGGAUAGCUUAGGGAAACUUAAGGUAAUACUCGAUAAUCCCGGGAGGUUUGAAGACCAUCCGGGCAAAGGUGUGAUUCCAUCAUAGGAGCGGCUUGCGUGGUAUUAGCUAGUUGGUGAGGUAACGGCUCACCAAGGCUUCGAUGCCUAGGGGAUGUUAGCGCAUGAUCCCCACCACUGGGACUGAGAUACUGCCCAGACACCUACGGGUGGCUGCAGUCGAGAAUCUUCGGCAAUGGGCGAAAGCCUGACCGAGCGACGCCGCGUGUGGGAUGAAGGCCCUUGGGUUGUAAACCACUGUCAGAGGGGAUGAAAUGCACGAGAGCUAUCUCUUGUGUUUGACAUAGCCUCAGAGGAAGCACGGGCUAAGUUCGUGCCAGCAGCCGCGGUAAAGUA